This 788-nucleotide ribosomal RNA is filed under the name Cosmospora ustulinae. Its description in RNAcentral is "eukaryotic LSU rRNA". It matches the Rfam family "Eukaryotic large subunit ribosomal RNA", at positions 98 to 918 of the family's 3401-position model. The record is from RNAcentral. Lineage: Eukaryota; Fungi; Ascomycota; Sordariomycetes; Hypocreales; Nectriaceae.
GCGGCAACAGCUCAAAUUUGAAAUCUGGCCCUCGGGUCCGAGUUGUAAUUUGUAGAGGAUGCUUUUGGUGCGGUGCCUUCCGAGUUCCCUGGAACGGGACGCCAUAGAGGGUGAGAGCCCCGUCUGGUUGGACACCAAGCCUCUGUAAAGCUCCUUCGACGAGUCGAGUAGUUUGGGAAUGCUGCUCUAAAUGGGAGGUAUAUGUCUUCUAAAGCUAAAUACCGGCCAGAGACCGAUAGCGCACAAGUAGAGUGAUCGAAAGAUGAAAAGCACUUUGAAAAGAGGGUUAAAUAGUACGUGAAAUUGUUGAAAGGGAAGCGCUUAUGACCAGACUUGAGCCCGGUUAAUCAUCCAGCCUUCUGGCUGGUGCACUUGGCCGGCUCAGGCCAGCAUCAGUUCGGCGCGGGGGAUAAAGGCUUCGGGAAUGUGGCUCCUCCGGGAGUGUUAUAGCCCGUUGCGCAAUACCCUGCGCUGGACUGAGGUUCGCGCAUCUGCAAGGAUGCUGGCGUAAUGGUCAUCAGCGACCCGUCUUGAAACACGGACCAAGGAGUCGUCUUCGUAUGCGAGUGUUCGGGUGUCAAACCCCUACGCGUAAUGAAAGUGAACGCAGGUGAGAGCUUCGGCGCAUCAUCGACCGAUCCUGAUGUUCUCGGAUGGAUUUGAGUAAGAGCAUACGGGGCCGGACCCGAAAGAAGGUGAACUAUGCCUGUAUAGGGUGAAGCCAGAGGAAACUCUGGUGGAGGCUCGCAGCGGUUCUGACGUGCAAAUCGAUCGUCAAAUAUGGGCAU